This 385-nucleotide ribosomal RNA is filed under the name uncultured bacterium. RNAcentral's name for it is "bacterial SSU rRNA". It matches the Rfam family "Bacterial small subunit ribosomal RNA", at positions 30 to 417 of the family's 1533-position model. The record is from RNAcentral.
AUUGAACGCUGGCGGCAUGCCUUACACAUGCAAGUCGAACGGCAGCGGACCUUCGGGUGCCGGUGAGUGGCGAACGGGUGAGUAAUGCAUCGGAACGUGCCAUUGAGUGGGGGAUAACGUAGCGAAAGUUGCGCUAAUACCGCAUAUUCUGUGAGCAGGAAAGCAGGGGACCGCAAGGCCUUGCGCUCUUUGAGCGGUCGAUGACAGAUUAGCUAGUUGGUGAGGUAAAGGCUUACCAAGGCGACGAUCUGUAGCGGGUCUGAGAGGAUGAUCCGCCACACUGGAACUGAGACACGGUCCAGACUCCUACGGGAGGCAGCAGUGGGGAAUUUUGGACAAUGGGGGCAACCCUGAUCCAGCCAUGCCGCGUGAGUGAAGAAGGCCU